GUUCAACUUGUCCACAGCAGUCACUUUCAAGUCUGACCUCUAAUGCAAGUGCUUAUUUUAUUUAAGCAAUCUCUAUAGUUAUUUACUGCUGUGUUACCUUGCUACUUUUUCAACUGUGAAGGAUUCUUACUUUGGAACCUGCUUCCCUGCUUCAAGCAGCUCAGCAUACUGGAUCUUUUUCCUUUUGGAUUCCUACACUGCAUCAAGUCCCGGCUGCAAGGAUCACUUCCUCAUUUUUGCUCACCUGCUGCACACUGUCUGCAAAGCUCUCAUCUGUUCCUCCCAGCAAUCUCUCCUACCAAGUUGUAAGUAGAUUGUUAUCUAAAACAUUGUUCACUGCUCUGAAAACUGGAUCCAGUCCUUUCUUCAUCUGCAACUAAGAAAGAGAAUCCCAUUUCCCCACACCAAUGGAGAAUGGUGUAAUUAAAGCCCCACUAACCUCAGAGGAGAAAAAUAGAAGACGCAUCUCCAAUUUGUGCCUCUAUUGUGCCAGUAGAGACCACCCAGUAGCAACAUGUCCCAUACUACAGAGAUCAAGGAAGGUGGGAUCGACUUCAAAUCAAGACUGAGGCCAUUGUUGAUUCAGGGGCGUAUGGGUGUUUUAUGGAUGCCACUUUUGUUAGUGCUAAUAAAAUACCGUGUGUUACAAAGCAAAAACCUCUGUUUAUUAAAGUAAUAGAUGGUUCAUUGAUUCAUAGUGGUCCUAUAAAACAACACACCAUACCUUUAUUAAUAACUACUACUGAUGGUCACACAGAAUAUCAAAGCUUUGAUAUAAUACCCUCAGCACUACAUACCAUCAUCUUAGGUUUUCCCUGGUUAGUCAAACACAAUCCCACUAUAGACUGGAAACACUCAAAGAUAACAUUCCCCUCCUUAUUUUGUAAAACCACUUGUUUUCAACAACAAACUAUAGGAAUGUUAGAUGUUAGCAUACCAACAGAGUAUCAGGAUUUAAGUGAUGUGUUUGAUUUAAAGGAAGCAGAGACUCUUCCUCCCCAUAGGGAUUUUGAUUGUCCCAUAGAUUUGGUACCCGGAGCAGUAGUUCCAUAUGGGAAAAUAUAUCCCCUCUCUCAAGAUGAGUUACAGUAUCUCAGAGAAUAUCUAGACGAGAAUCUUAGGAAAGGUUUCAUAGUACCAUCUGUAUCACCCGCAGCUGCCGGAAUAUUUUUUGUAAAAAAUAAAGAUCA
Long non-coding RNA from Bombina bombina (fire-bellied toad), 1190 nucleotides. RefSeq lists it as uncharacterized. NCBI's taxonomy places the organism in Eukaryota, Metazoa, Chordata, Amphibia, Anura, Bombinatoridae. The record is from RefSeq and is a predicted model, not a curated record. The transcript is spliced from 3 exons.